Actinia tenebrosa (Australian red waratah sea anemone) is the source of this 302-nucleotide long non-coding RNA. RefSeq lists it as uncharacterized. The record is from RefSeq and is a predicted model, not a curated record. NCBI's taxonomy places the organism in Eukaryota, Metazoa, Cnidaria, Anthozoa, Actiniaria, Actiniidae.
GUCGGUCACUGUCCCUCAAUAAGCAGACAGUUCGUUCAAAGAAGGAAUACAAAGACGACAAAAAAACACCAAUAUUUUGCAAUUUGAUGGAGAAGCCGAUGUAAAACUCUACAAGACUCUCGACGUUGCUUCACUCUUAACUGAGUUUAGCUCAAAUGCAGUCGGCAUUCCAUCUUUCAUGUAAUACAGUGAAUACCUUACUGGCAAUGUACUAGAUCCAAGAAAGUGACAAAAGUAGGUGUGUCAGUGGACAACUUUGGGCGUGGUAGCGAGACAAAUUUUUGAUGUCUUGCCACAGUUUG